GUGGGGAAUAUUGGACAAUGGGCGCAAGCCUGAUCCAGCCAUGCCGCGUGAGUGAUGAAGGCCCUAGGGUUGUAAAGCUCUUUCACCGAUGAAGAUAAUGACGGUAGUCGGAGAAGAAGCCCCGGCUAACUUCGUGCCAGCAGCCGCGGUAAUACGAAGGGGGCUAGCGUUGUUCGGAAUUACUGGGCGUAAAGCGCACGUAGGCGGAUAUUUAAGUCAGGGGUGAAAUCCUAGAGCUCAACUCUGGAACUGCCUUUGAUACUGGGUAUCUCGAGUAUGGAAGAGGUGAGUGGAAUUCCGAGUGUAGAGGUGAAAUUCGUAGAUAUUCGGAAGAACACCAGUGGCGAAGGCGGCUCACUGGACGACUGUUGACGCUGAGAUGCGAAAGCGUGGGGAGCAAACAGGAUUAGAUACCCGGGUAGUCC
RNAcentral lists this ribosomal RNA (425 nucleotides) under uncultured bacterium. Its description in RNAcentral is "partial 16S ribosomal RNA". It matches the Rfam family "Bacterial small subunit ribosomal RNA", at positions 354 to 796 of the family's 1533-position model. The record is from RNAcentral.